This 888-nucleotide long non-coding RNA is filed under the name Fukomys damarensis (Damara mole-rat). RNAcentral describes it as "lncRNA (ENSFDAG00000033036.1)". The record is from RNAcentral. Lineage: Eukaryota; Metazoa; Chordata; Mammalia; Rodentia; Bathyergidae.
GUCUUUAUCUUUCAGGACAGAGCCUUCUUUGAUAUCUGAUGACUCCUGAGGGUGGCUUAUUUAAUAACACAGGGGUUGUGGGGCCUGACUGGAAGCACCCGGCUCAGGCCUUGGGGUGCGGCUGAGCAGGGAGAGAGCUGGUCACCUUGCUUGACUGCAGGAGCACCUGGGCCCGUGCAGGGCAGGACAGUGGCCUGGCCACUCUGCAAGCUGACUAAUAAUUCACUGCAACUAAUAACUUCAACUUCAAGCUUUUUGACUUUCUUAGAGGGCACUUUGUUCAACAGCACAGGGAAGAUGACAGCAAGAACACAUGCAUUUAAACUAACAACACAAGCGAGAGAGAAGCCGUCUUCCAGGGGAGACAGAGAGAGGCUUCAGAGCACCCCGUGCCUCCUGCCCGGACUUGUACUCCAAUUAUGCCCCCGCUCUCUGGGCAGGAAGAUUGUUUACAGCAGGUUCUCAAUCAGGGAGAUGGGGGAUUGAGCCAGGACGGAGGAUGUGGUGGGCGAGAACUCAGGUAUGAGGGGUAUCGGUCUUGGAUCCUGUACAGCAGCUAUCUUUUCCAGGAACAAGGUGAAAAGUGUUUCUUACUUAACAAAAUAAAUAGAAAUAAAAAGCAAAAACGAUAAAUAAUUAUGCGUACCUGCUUUCUUAUGGUUUGCACUCUGCCCUCUGGUUACGACAACCUGCUUUGUGGAAAUGAUGUCACGCCCAGCUCUGUCCACCGAGGCUGCCGCUGCCCACGCAGGGCCAGGCCUGGGCCAGGGCAGAACUGAGGGCAGCCGGAGAGCGGUUCCUCGGCUGCCACAUUUGGGCAAACAGUGGUUCUCUCCAACAAACUCCACCCUCAGCAAGACAGAAGAGCAAUCAGGGCGUUUAUGCCAC